This 448-nucleotide ribosomal RNA is filed under the name uncultured bacterium. Its description in RNAcentral is "SSU rRNA". It matches the Rfam family "Bacterial small subunit ribosomal RNA", at positions 26 to 518 of the family's 1533-position model. The record is from RNAcentral.
AGGAUAAACGCUGGCGGCAGGCCUAACACAUGCAAGUCGAGCGCCCGUAGCAAUACGGGAGCGGCAGACGGGAUAGUAACACGUGGGAACGCGCCCUUCGGUUCGGAAUAACUCAGGGAAACUUGAGCUAAUACCGGAUACGCCCUUACGGGGAAAGAUUUAUUGCCGAAGGAACGGCCCGCGUCCGAUUAGCUAGUUGGUGAGGUAAUGGCUCACCAAGGCGACGAUCGGUAGCUGGUCUGAGAGGAUGACCAGCAUCACUGGGACUGAGACACGGCCCAGACUCCUACGGGAGGCAGCAGUGGGGAAUAUUGGACAAUGGGCGCAAGCCUGAUCCAGCCAUGCCGCGUGGAUGAUGAAGGCCUUAGGGUUGUAAAGUCCUUUUAACGGGGAAGAUAAUGACGGUACCCGUAGAAUAAGCCCCGGCUAACUUCGUGCCAGCAGCCGC